CUAGACAAGGAGGGCUCUGCAAACAUAUGGCGUGGCCUGGGGCUGUCAGACAGUAGUGUCGCUGCAGGACACGGAGGAGACUGGCAGCGAGGCAGCAGGGUCGGCAGGAGCCCAUAAAGGUUCUGAUGACGCAUUCCUCAGGCCCAAUCCGUAGAGCAGGAGGAAUCUAACUGGUGUCCGAGAAGAUGUGUUUGACCUAUGGUGCCAGCCUUCAGUUUCUCAGAAGACAUAUGGGACCCAGAUAAAUCAGACAUUGAAUGCGCUGACGAGAGUCGCUGAGGACCCAAGAGAAAAGGCUUUUUUGGUUUGGAUUUCAUCUGUAUUUCACCACUUGAAAAUUCACUAUUGGCAUCGGGCAUGACCAACCCAGACAUCCUCUAAAGGAGGAGAUACAGAAGUUCUCUUCCCAGGCCCACUCAAAGGGUUCUGGCUCAGACCCUUUUUCCCCAUUCCUUAAGAGAGAAAAAAGACAUAUAUUUUCAAGGUAUAGACUCCCAUCAAGGCACACUGACCCUGAAAAAUGGCUGAGCUAAAAUAAAAGCUGUGUUUAUAACGCUGAAACGAAAU
RNAcentral lists this long non-coding RNA (567 nucleotides) under Homo sapiens (human). Its description in RNAcentral is "long non-coding RNA NONHSAT156185.1". The record is from RNAcentral. Lineage: Eukaryota; Metazoa; Chordata; Mammalia; Primates; Hominidae.